Molecule: unclassified non-coding RNA, 219 nt
Filed under: uncultured Sebacina
Lineage: Eukaryota; Fungi; Basidiomycota; Agaricomycetes; Sebacinales; Sebacinaceae
Description: sequence contains ITS1
Source: RNAcentral
UCGAAUUACAAGUCGGUUGACUGUGCUGGUGGCCCUAGGGUCGCAUGUGCACGUCAAUUGCAAAUCCACACACCUGUGCACCUUAGACUUUGGGAUUCGCCGACCUUCACGGUUGACAGUCGGUCUCCCAUCCGUGGGUUGACCUGGGUCCUGAGGUACUUUACACACACUCUUGAAUGGAAUGGAAUGUUGACCUGUGCUUAUGCACUUAUUGACAUA